ACCCUCUCAGGAUCAGACCUGAAGUGUUUCCUGUACUCUAUUAGUCUUGACUAGGGGAGGGAGAGUCAAGCAGAGGCCUACCCAUUCCAUUCCUAGCUUGGCCAGUGGCUAACGAGUGGAAGGCAAUCUGCUACAAGU
Ornithorhynchus anatinus (platypus) is the source of this 138-nucleotide small nucleolar RNA. The record is from RefSeq and is a predicted model, not a curated record. NCBI's taxonomy places the organism in Eukaryota, Metazoa, Chordata, Mammalia, Monotremata, Ornithorhynchidae.